Molecule: ribosomal RNA, 460 nt
Filed under: uncultured bacterium
Lineage: Bacteria
Description: partial 16S ribosomal RNA
Rfam family: Bacterial small subunit ribosomal RNA
Source: RNAcentral
CCUACGGGUGGCAGCAGUGAGGAAUAUUGGUCAAUGGCCGGAAGGCUGAACCAGCCAUGCCGCGUGAAGGUCAGUGCCCUAUGGGCGUUAAACUUCUUUUGUGCGGGAGCAAUAAUGGUCACGUGUGGCCAGACGAGAGUGCCGUACGCAUAAGCAUCGGCUAACUCCGUGCCAGCAGCCGCGGUAAUACGGGGGAUGCAAGCGUUAUCCGGGUUUAUGGGGUUUAAAGGGUGCGUAGGCGGUGAGGUAAGUCAGCGGUGAAAUGCCGCCGCUUAACGGGGUGAAGUGCCAUUGAUACUGCCUUGCUGGAAUGCGGAUGCCGUGGGAGGAAUGUGUGGUGUAGCGGUGAAAUGCAUAGAGAUCACACAGAACACCGAUUGCGAAGGCAUCUCACGAAUCCGCGAUUGACGCUGAUGCACGAAAGCGUGGGUAGCAAACAGGAUUAGAUACCCUAGUAGUC